RNAcentral lists this ribosomal RNA (381 nucleotides) under human gut metagenome. RNAcentral's name for it is "bacterial LSU rRNA". It matches the Rfam family "Bacterial large subunit ribosomal RNA", at positions 1 to 386 of the family's 2925-position model. The record is from RNAcentral.
GGUCAAGCAAAAAAGAGCGCAGGGUGGAUGCCUUGGCACUAAGAGCCGAUGAAAGACGUGAUAAGCUGCGAAAAGCUACGGGGAGGAGCAAAUAUCCUUUGAUCCGUAGAUGUCUGAAUGGGGAAACCCACAUGAGCAUACCUCAUGUAUCCAUACGCCAAUCCAUAACGUAUGGAGGGGAACCCGGUGAACUGAAACAUCUAAGUAGCCGGAGGAAGAGAAAGAAACAUCGAUUUCCAAAGUAGCGGCGAGCGAAAUGGAAAGAGGCCAAACCGGAAUGCGUGCAUUCCGGGGUUCGGACCGCAUAAUUGAUUUGUCAAUCCUAGCAGAAAGGUUUUGGGAAAGCCUGCCAGAGAGGGUGAAAGCCCCGUAAGCGAAAGG